UUCUUGUAAUAGUCUUUAUGUAAAUUCCUCUCCCCGCCCCCAGACUUGCCAGGUAUAACCUACGGGAUGAAGUGCAGUGGUUGCCAAAAUAAAUGUUAUCCCAAGAUGGGAAUCUGUGGAGAGCGGAGGCCCAGCGCCUUCACGCAGGGAGAUUUCCAACGCGUCGUCCGUCUCUGUGGGACCGGAAGGAAUUUGUGACUGAAAUGGAGAAGAGGAGGUCUCCAGGGAUUCAGAGUGAAGAGAGACCUGGGGACAAACAGAUGUUAUCACUGGAUCCACAGCAAGACCUUACCACGCCUCUAGACCCUUCCUUUUGGGAACUCUGUCCCCCAGUGUUGUUUUCCGGCCACUGGCAGACCUCCGCCACACCUGAGAGUCCUCUGCCUCUGAAAGCCAGCUGACCUCAGGAAAGGUCACCAAGUGGAGGCAGAUUCCGGAAAAUGAAGUUUAUGCUCGUCGAAACCAGGGAAUCUGAAGGCCCCACUCCUUCCUCAGCCUGGCUCUGGGGCGGGGGGCAUGUGAGUUGCUGAGAAGACAGAUAGCGUGAGCACUGCUGGGAACGUGUUAGCAAUGCAGAGCCUUGAGCCCCACCCCAGACCUGCAGAAUCACAGUCUGCCUUUCAACGAGACCCCCACGUGAUUUCGGGGCACAUUAUGAGAGGUGCUGGUUGCCAAUCAGAAAGUCGUGGGCUGUAGGACUGUGGACCAUCCGCACGACCUUUCUGAACUUCAGUUUCCACAUCUGUAAAAUAGGCAUCAAAGAACAGAAUCUAUCACACACAGUGAGGACAUAAAUGGCCCCGCGUGCAGCUCUUACCACAGGGUCCCCAGAAUAAGUGCUUACAAUAUUGUCAUUAUUAACCAGAUUAUUACCUCCUGGCCAUGUGACUCACCUUGGGCCGCUUUAUCUUUUUCUAGGGUCCAGCUAAGGGCACUGUUCACUGAGUCCUUGGUAUUAAGUUCUUGCUUCAACGUAGCCUGUUCUCCUUGGCUUGAUAACAAAGGGCUGGAGCUGGAAAAAAAGGAAGUUAGAGUUUCCAGUGAGUCCUCUUUACUUCCCACCUGAGGAAGCUGAGCCCCAGGACGUGCCCUGCCUGGAAUCACAGGGCUCAGGGCUGGCAGAGCGAGGUGGUGGGGGAUGGGGGCACGGUUCUGAAUCCCCUGUUCAGAAACUCUCACCAUAACAAAAACAACAGCUUCUGUGCUUUGGCACCUACUUGGUGCCAGACACCAGACUUGGGGUUUAUCAAAAGAAGCAUCUCAUUUAAUCUGCAUAACAAUCUUCCACUUCAAUGACAAGAAAUCCAAGCUCUCAGAGUUACGUAAUGUGCCCAAGGCGUCAGAACCUCAAAGGACAAGCAGGGGCAGAAUGGAAUUUGGGGCGGAAUCUGGUUCCCCGACUCCACGGUCCCCAGUGGACCAUCCCCUUCUGUUCCACGCCCCUCAGGAAAGCUCCCUGUGGGAGAGACAGGCAUGUGUGGGUGCUAAUGGGUAGCAAAUGUACUGUUCCUUGACCUGGGUGCUGGAUAUAGGAGUCUUUAUUUUACUAUGGCUCUUUAAACUGUGCAAAUGUUUUCACGCACACACUGCAUCCAUCAAAAUAUUGCACAUCCAUAACUUAAAAACAAAUAGAAAAGAAUAGAAAUCUCACAGGUGUUUAAAUACAAGCCCG
Lynx canadensis (Canada lynx) is the source of this 1672-nucleotide long non-coding RNA. RefSeq lists it as uncharacterized. The transcript is spliced from 3 exons. Lineage: Eukaryota; Metazoa; Chordata; Mammalia; Carnivora; Felidae. The record is from RefSeq and is a predicted model, not a curated record.